AGGUUUGUUAUUGGGAAACAGUUGCCCAGCCAGGAAUGCAGUUUCCAGCAUUCUGCACCUCUAGGGUAUUCACCAAACAACUCCUUAAAAAUGAAAACUCGUGAUGGUCCAAUGGAAUGACUCUAAUGAAACUGAUGAAAUUUCAGACAAUGUGACAAAAAAUGAAGGAAGAAAUCCUGAGCAGACACAACCAAAUGUCUUUCAAGCCACACAAGCUGAGCCACAAGUCUUGCAGGA
Non-coding RNA from Odocoileus virginianus texanus, 237 nucleotides. The record is from RefSeq and is a predicted model, not a curated record. Lineage: Eukaryota; Metazoa; Chordata; Mammalia; Artiodactyla; Cervidae.